ACUACUUUCAAACGACGCCCUCCAUAUUCAAACACUCUAGCUCCUUCGUGCUGUGCCCUAGCUUACGACAUUAGCCAUCAACCACUCUCUCCCUCAAAGUGAGCUGCAUCGAAAUGGAGCAGCCGUGAACCACUCUCUCCCUGAAACCCAUUUUCCCAUCGAAAGUGUUAGGUCGUCGUACAGUGGGUGGGUGACUUUGUAUUUUGUCUCUGUGACUUUGUUUUUGUGUGCGGACAAGGAGAAGGACUACUGAAGAAUGAAGAUUCUUAGUGAAAUUUUUAAGAGCGAGAGAACCAUUCUUGCCACAAAUACCUAAGAACUACCUUAGAAUUAAGGAUGGAAGGAUGACAGUUCGAUUGCUAUUGAAGUAUCUAAUUAGCAAACUCAGACUAGAAAGCAAAUCAGAGAUCGUGAUGGCGGCGCAGCUAAUCCGUGAUCGAGUAGAGAUGGAGUGCUUAGAGGGAGCU
Molecule: long non-coding RNA, 467 nt
Organism: Glycine soja
Lineage: Eukaryota; Viridiplantae; Streptophyta; Magnoliopsida; Fabales; Fabaceae
Exons: 5
Source: RefSeq, a predicted model, not a curated record